This 778-nucleotide ribosomal RNA is filed under the name Salmonella enterica. Its description in RNAcentral is "partial 23S ribosomal RNA". It matches the Rfam family "Bacterial large subunit ribosomal RNA", at positions 2025 to 2802 of the family's 2925-position model. Lineage: Bacteria; Pseudomonadati; Pseudomonadota; Gammaproteobacteria; Enterobacterales; Enterobacteriaceae. The record is from RNAcentral.
CCCGAGACUCAGUGAAAUUGAACUCGCUGUGAAGAUGCAGUGUACCCGCGGCAAGACGGAAAGACCCCGUGAACCUUUACUAUAGCUUGACACUGAACAUUGAGCCUUGAUGUGUAGGAUAGGUGGGAGGCUUUGAAGCGUGGACGCCAGUCUGCGUGGAGCCGACCUUGAAAUACCACCCUUUAAUGUUUGAUGUUCUAACGUGGACCCGUAAUCCGGGUUGCGGACAGUGUCUGGUGGGUAGUUUGACUGGGGCGGUCUCCUCCUAAAGAGUAACGGAGGAGCACGAAGGUUGGCUAAUCCUGGUCGGACAUCAGGAGGUUAGUGCAAUGGCAUAAGCCAGCUUGACUGCGAGCGUGACGGCGCGAGCAGGUGCGAAAGCAGGUCAUAGUGAUCCGGUGGUUCUGAAUGGAAGGGCCAUCGCUCAACGGAUAAAAGGUACUCCGGGGAUAACAGGCUGAUACCGCCCAAGAGUUCAUAUCGACGGCGGUGUUUGGCACCUCGAUGUCGGCUCAUCACAUCCUGGGGCUGAAGUAGGUCCCAAGGGUAUGGCUGUUCGCCAUUUAAAGUGGUACGCGAGCUGGGUUUAGAACGUCGUGAGACAGUUCGGUCCCUAUCUGCCGUGGGCGCUGGAGAACUGAGGGGGGCUGCUCCUAGUACGAGAGGACCGGAGUGGACGCAUCACUGGUGUUCGGGUUGUCAUGCCAAUGGCACUGCCCGGUAGCUAAAUGCGGAAGAGAUAAGUGCUGAAAGCAUCUAAGCACGAAACUUGCCCCGA